RNAcentral lists this unclassified non-coding RNA (292 nucleotides) under Hevea brasiliensis (rubber tree). Lineage: Eukaryota; Viridiplantae; Streptophyta; Magnoliopsida; Malpighiales; Euphorbiaceae. The record is from RNAcentral.
UGAAGUUCUUCUUCAGAUAAUCAACUUUGUGAACGAGAAAAAGGACCAUAUUCCCUCGAUAGAAAAUCUUGAGGGUACCUCAUUUCCCUUUGAGAUCACCAUCUCAAGUUUAUCAGAUUCUGCUUUUGGGAUGGAACUGCUCAAGAGAAUGCUCCCGCAUGGCAAUCGACCAUGCUCGGCUGACUUUCAGUUUCUAAAGGGAUCUGAUUUUGUUUAACUUCAUGAUUGGGGUAAGGUACAAUUGUUGUCAUCUGAUGUCUGAAAAUGGUGAAUGUUAGUUGUAAAUGGGGGA